UAAAGAAUUUCGGUCAUCGAUGGGGAUGCGUUCCAUUAGCUUGUUGGCGGGGUAACGGCCCACCAAGGCAUCGAUGGAUAGGGGUUCUGAGAGGAAGGUCCCCCACAUUGGAACUGAGACACGGUCCAAACUCCUACGGGAGGCAGCAGUGAGGAAUAUUGGUCAAUGGGCGCUAGCCUGAACCAGCCAAGUAGCGUGAAGGAUGACUGCCCUAUGGGUUGUAAACUUCUUUUAUAUGGGAAUAAAGUGCAGUAUGUAUACUGCUUUGCAUGUACCUUAUGAAUAAGGAUCGGCUAACUCCGUGCCAGCAGCCGCGGUAAUACGGAGGAUCCGAGCGUUAUCCGGAUUUAUUGGGUUUAAAGGGAGCGUAGGCGGGUUGUUAAGUCAGUUGUGAAAGUUUGCGGCUCAACCGUAAAAUUGCAGUUGAUACUGGCAUCCUUGAGUACAGUAGAGGUAGGCGGAAUUCGUGGUGUAGCGGUGAAAUGCUUAGAUAUCACGAAGAACUCCGAUUGCGAAGGCAGCCUGCUGGACUGUAACUGACGCUGAUGCUCGAAAGUGUGGGUAUCAAACAGGAUUAGAUACCCUGGUAGUCCACACAGUAAACGAUGAAUACUCGCUGUUUGCGAUAUACAGUAAGCG
RNAcentral lists this ribosomal RNA (639 nucleotides) under uncultured bacterium. RNAcentral's name for it is "bacterial SSU rRNA". It matches the Rfam family "Bacterial small subunit ribosomal RNA", at positions 202 to 845 of the family's 1533-position model. The record is from RNAcentral.